Molecule: ribosomal RNA, 958 nt
Filed under: Cronobacter sakazakii
Lineage: Bacteria; Pseudomonadati; Pseudomonadota; Gammaproteobacteria; Enterobacterales; Enterobacteriaceae
Description: bacterial SSU rRNA
Rfam family: Bacterial small subunit ribosomal RNA
Source: RNAcentral
AUAAUUUAAAACCUAGGGCGCUACCAUGCAGUCGAACGGUAACAGGAAGCAGCUUGCUGCUUCGCUGACGAGUGGCGGACGGGUGAGUAAUGUCUGGGAAACUGCCUGAUGGAGGGGGAUAACUACUGGAAACGGUAGCUAAUACCGCAUAACGUCGCAAGACCAAAGAGGGGGACCUUCGGGCCUCUUGCCAUCAGAUGUGCCCAGAUGGGAUUAGCUAGUAGGUGGGGUAACGGCUCACCUAGGCGACGAUCCCUAGCUGGUCUGAGAGGAUGACCAGCCACACUGGAACUGAGACACGGUCCAGACUCCUACGGGAGGCAGCAGUGGGGAAUAUUGCACAAUGGGCGCAAGCCUGAUGCAGCCAUGCCGCGUGUAUGAAGAAGGCCUUCGGGUUGUAAAGUACUUUCAGCGGGGAGGAAGGCGAUGCGGUUAAUAACCGCGUCGAUUGACGUUACCCGCAGAAGAAGCACCGGCUAACUCCGUGCCAGCAGCCGCGGUAAUACGGAGGGUGCAAGCGUUAAUCGGAAUUACUGGGCGUAAAGCGCACGCAGGCGGUCUGUCUAUGUCGGAUGUGAAAUCCCCGGGCUCAACCUGGGAACUGCAUCCGAAAACUGGCAGGCUUGAGUCUCGUAGAGGGGGGUAGAAUUCCAGGUGUAGCGGUGAAAUGCGUAGAGAUCUGGAGGAAUUCCAGUCCGGCGAAGGCGGCCCCCUGGACGAAGACUGACGCUCAGGUGCGAAAGCGUGGGGAGCAAACAAGGAUUAGAUACCCUGGGUAGUUCCACGCCGUAACGAUGUCGACUUGGAGGUUGGUGCCCCUUGAGGCGUGGCUUCCCGGAGCUAACGUGUUAAGUCAACCGCGCAGUGAGGAAGUACGCCGCAAAGGUUAAAACUCAACUGAAUUGAACUGGGGCUGCGCCACAACCGUGGAGCAUUGUGGUUUAAAUUUCGAUGCUAC